AUACUUCUUAAAACUGUAACUAAGAAUUAUCUCGGAAAAUAAAAAAUCUGUUCUUAUCAGCUUAAUAUCUGAUACGUCCUGCAUCGCAAGGACCAGAAUAUUAAACUCAUUUUUGGCUCAUGACGGAGUGCUAGGGGCUUGCUCCACCUCUGUCGCGGGUUGGCCCGGCAUUGCAGUACCGCCGGGGAUCGGCCCACACCUA
Molecule: small nuclear RNA, 202 nt
Organism: Schistocerca piceifrons (Central American locust)
Lineage: Eukaryota; Metazoa; Arthropoda; Insecta; Orthoptera; Acrididae
Product: U2 spliceosomal RNA
Exons: 1
Source: RefSeq, a predicted model, not a curated record